RNAcentral lists this ribosomal RNA (439 nucleotides) under uncultured bacterium. Its description in RNAcentral is "bacterial SSU rRNA". It matches the Rfam family "Bacterial small subunit ribosomal RNA", at positions 958 to 1398 of the family's 1533-position model. The record is from RNAcentral.
AACGCGAAGAACCUUACCUGGGCUCGAAGCGCAGUGGACCGGGGUGGAAACAUCCCUUUUCGCAAGAACUGCUGCGGAGGUGCUGCAUGGCUGUCGUCAGCUCGUGUCGUGAGAUGUUGGGUUAAGUCCCGCAACGAGCGCAACCCUUAUUGCCAGUUGCCACCGGGUUAUGCCGAGCACUCUGGCGAAACCGCCCUAGAUAAUGGGGAGGAAGGUGGGGAUGACGUCAAGUCCUCAUGGCCUUUAUGUCCAGGGCUACACACGUGCUACAAUGGCCGGUACAAACCGUCGCAAACCCGUGAGGGGGAGCUAAUCGGAAAAAGCCGGCCUCAGUUCGGAUUGGAGUCUGCAACCCGACUCCAUGAAGCUGGAAUCGCUAGUAAUCGCGGAUCAGAACGCCGCGGUGAAUACGUUCCCGGGCCUUGUACACACCGCUGUA